This 72-nucleotide transfer RNA is filed under the name Insectozyma bohioensis. Its description in RNAcentral is "Candida bohioensis tRNA-Asp". It matches the Rfam family "tRNA". Rfam says of the family: Transfer RNA (tRNA) molecules are approximately 80 nucleotides in length. Their secondary structure includes four short double-helical elements and three loops (D, anti-codon, and T loops). The record is from RNAcentral. Lineage: Eukaryota; Fungi; Ascomycota; Pichiomycetes; Serinales; Debaryomycetaceae.
GUACUAUUAGCUUAAUGGUAAAGCCUUUCAAUGUCACUGAAAGAGAUGUCAGUUCGAGUCUGAUAUAGUACG